CGGGACGGGUGAGUAAUGUCUGGGAAACUGCCUGAUGGAGGGGGGUAACUACUGGAAACGGUAGCUAAUACCGCAUAACGUCGCAAGCCAAGAGGGGGACCUUCGGGCCUCUUGCCAUCGGAUGUGCCCAGAUGGGAUUAGCUAGUAGGUGGGGUAACGGCUCACCUAGGCGACGAUCCCUAGCUGGUCUGAGAGGAUGACCAGCCACACUGGAACUGAGACACGGUCCAG
RNAcentral lists this ribosomal RNA (231 nucleotides) under uncultured bacterium. RNAcentral's name for it is "partial 16S ribosomal RNA". It matches the Rfam family "Bacterial small subunit ribosomal RNA", at positions 100 to 334 of the family's 1533-position model. The record is from RNAcentral.